UGAGGAAUAUUGCACAAUGGGCGCAAGCCUGAUUCAGCAACGCCGCGUGCGGGACGAAGGCCUUCGGGUCGUAAACCGCUUUUCUGGGGGCAGAGCAAGGACGGUACCUCAGGAAUAAGUCUCGGCUAACUACGUGCCAGCAGCCGCGGUAAAACGUAGGAGGCGAGCGUUAUACGGAUUUACUGGGCGUAAAGCGCACGCAGGCGGCUCUGUUAGUCGGACGUGAAAGCUCUCGGCUUAACCGGGAGAGGCCGUUCGAUACUGCGGGGCUUGAGGUAGGGAGAGGAAUGCGGAAUUCCCGGUGUAGUGGUGGAAUGCGUAGAUAUCGGGAGGAACACCUGUGGCGAAAGCGGCAUUCUGGCCCUCACCUGACGCUGAGGUGCGAAAGCGUGGGUAGCAAACA
RNAcentral lists this ribosomal RNA (403 nucleotides) under uncultured bacterium. RNAcentral describes it as "bacterial SSU rRNA". It matches the Rfam family "Bacterial small subunit ribosomal RNA", at positions 355 to 774 of the family's 1533-position model. The record is from RNAcentral.